CGCCUACGGGAGGCAGCAGUAGGGAAUCUUCCACAAUGGGCGAAAGCCUGAUGGAGCAACGCCGCGUGGGUGAAGAAGGUCUUCGGAUCGUAAAACCCUGUUGUUAGAGAAGAAAGUGCGUGAGAGUAACUGUUCACGUUUCGACGGUAUCUAACCAGAAAGCCACGGCUAACUACGUGCCAGCAGCCGCGGUAAUACGUAGGUGGCAAGCGUUAUCCGGAUUUAUUGGGCGUAAAGGGAACGCAGGCGGGCGUUUAAGUCUGAUGUGAAAGCCUUCGGCUUAACCGGAUGA
RNAcentral lists this ribosomal RNA (292 nucleotides) under uncultured bacterium. RNAcentral describes it as "partial 16S ribosomal RNA". It matches the Rfam family "Bacterial small subunit ribosomal RNA", at positions 336 to 620 of the family's 1533-position model. The record is from RNAcentral.